GACGAACGCUGGCGGCGUGCCUAAUACAUGCAAGUUGAGCGCUGAAGGUUGGUACUUGUACCAACUGGAUGAGCAGCGAACGGGUGAGUAACGCGUGGGGAAUCUGCCUUUGAGCGGGGGACAACAUUUGGAAACGAAUGCUAAUACCGCAUAAAAACUUUAAACACAAGUUUUAAGUUUGAAAGAUGCAAUUGCAUCACUCAAAGAUGAUCCCGCGUUGUAUUAGCUAGUUGGUGAGGUAAAGGCUCACCAAGGCGAUGAUACAUAGCCGACCUGAGAGGGUGAUCGGCCACAUUGGGACUGAGACACGGCCCAAACUCCUACGGGAGGCAGCAGUAGGGAAUCUUCGGCAAUGGACGAAAGUCUGACCGAGCAACGCCGCGUGAGUGAAGAAGGUUUUCGGAUCGUAAAACUCUGUUGGUAGAGAAGAACGUUGGUGAGAGUGGAAAGCUCAUC
This 456-nucleotide ribosomal RNA is filed under the name Lactococcus lactis. RNAcentral's name for it is "bacterial SSU rRNA". It matches the Rfam family "Bacterial small subunit ribosomal RNA", at positions 28 to 469 of the family's 1533-position model. Lineage: Bacteria; Bacillati; Bacillota; Bacilli; Lactobacillales; Streptococcaceae. The record is from RNAcentral.